AAGCCAAAGGAAUUUUGCCCCAGAGAAGACAGCUGGAUGCAGUCCCACAUUUCCCGUCUCCUGAAGAUGCCAGAAGCUGUGCACUUGCUCGCAAAGAGCCGAAGCCACGGAGGGGAGAGGUGGACGCUGCAGGUCGUUGGCUUGUCCCUCUGCUGGAUGCAAGGACCUGGAGGUCCUCCCCCAUCCUGGAGAGCUGUAUGGGAAGCCUCGUGCGCUUCUCGUUCCCUCUGCUCUUGGGCAACGCGAAUUCCUUCAAAUGUGAGGCCCGAAGGAAGGCGGUUCUACGUGAUGGGAUGAUGCGGGGCCUCCCUGUCCUCAUCGGUGACUCCAUCACUCAGUCCCAGCUGGGUUUGGCGAAGGGAUGCCCCAUAUUCAGUCGGUGUCAUCCAGACACUCUUACAGCUCCCAGAGAUGAGGCAGAAGCAGCAGCACCGUGCAAGAACCCCAGAGCCUGGAGAGGGUGCAGUCCAUCCCCAUCCAGGCCCAUCCUCACAAACCCAAAGAGCUGCAGAAGGUGGAACCCCCUCCGAGCACACGCAGACCAACAAAAACUCAAAGGCACAAAGCAUUUCUUCAGCGCUGGAGAUUCAAAUCCCCUGCUUUGUUUGGUGCUUUUUCCCCAGCAGCAUUUAACAAGCUGAUGAUGUUUGUUUAUGAAGUGAAAUGCACAUGAUUUAUUUGAUCUGCUGGAGCUGGAGAGCUGCAUUCCCACGCCAGGGACAGGCAGAGACGCUGCUGCCUCCAUCCCCUCAUUGGAAACUGCUCGGAUAAAGCACUGUGCAGUCAGAGGCACUGCGCUGCACUUUCAGCUCCUUCAGAGCAGGACAUUAAAUGCUUAUUAGAGACCUCCCCACUUCCCAGCCAUAAAGCUGCACUUGUUCUUGUCUGUCUCUGCACGUGGAGACGGCCUUAAUGAAGCGUUCCUGCAGCUGACACAGGUUUGGGGAGGAGGUCUUGGGGCACCUGGGCUGUAGUCUGGGUCUGGUUUGAGUGAUGGUGGGGAGGUUCUUCCUCUUGUGCUUUGCUGGUGGAUUGGGUUGAACAUGUCUCACCCGAUUUGCAGGGACGGUGGUUUAAUUAAUUGCUUUGCAAGAAGAUUCUGUAGAGGGGAAGUCUAGUUCUGCCUUUUACAACACCUGGAGAUGUACUUCAUCUCAUCACCCAGACCAGAGCCUGACUGCCAAGGAAGCCACAGAAACCGAUCCAUUAACUGAUGGAAGAAAAAGUGCAGGACGUGAACUAUGAGACUUACAGCUCCCUGGGGAGCACACAUCGAGCAUCACCCAUCCUGCAGGUGGGACACGAGCCAGAUCCUCACCUGGUGUAAGCCAGCAGCACAUGGCCCAGGGCUGGCCACCAGCUGAGGUCCCCUUCCCCCAACUGGGGCUGCAAUUGGGCUGUGCCAGCUGUGAGCAACCUCACCACAAAGCCUUGCCCCAGAGCUUGAGGAUGUGACCCAGCCACUACCAGGGCCUUCCCCCCGUCCCUGCAUACAAAACACUUUGCAAAUGAAGGGUGAAGAUAAUAUGCUUUAUCACAGGCAUUUAUUACUGGUGAUUGUUGAAUAAAUCUCCCUCCAUUCACA
This is a long non-coding RNA of Numida meleagris (helmeted guineafowl), 1585 nucleotides long. NCBI's taxonomy places the organism in Eukaryota, Metazoa, Chordata, Aves, Galliformes, Numididae. The record is from Ensembl.